CCAGACUCCUACGGGAGGCAGCAGUGGGGAAUAUUGCACAAUGGGGGAAACCCUGAUGCAGCGACGCCGCGUGAAGGAAGAAGUAUCUCGGUAUGUAAACUUCUAUCAGCAGGGAAGAAAACAGACGGUACCUGACUAAGAAGCCCCGGCUAACUACGUGCCAGCAGCCGCGGUAGUACGUAGGGGGCAAGCGUUAUCCGGAUUUACUGGGUGUAAAGGGAGCGUAGACGGUGCGCCAAGUCUGGAGUGAAAUGCCGCAGCUUAACUGCGGAACUGCUUUGGAAACUGGCGAACCAGAGUGCGGGAGGGGUAAGCGGAAUUCCUAGUGUAGCGGUGAAAUGCGUAGAUAUUAGGAGGAACACCGGUGGCGAAGGCGGCUUACUGGACCGUAACUGACGUUGAGGCUCGAAAGCGUGGGGAGCAAACAGGAUUAGAUACCCUCGUA
Molecule: ribosomal RNA, 445 nt
Filed under: uncultured bacterium
Lineage: Bacteria
Description: bacterial SSU rRNA
Rfam family: Bacterial small subunit ribosomal RNA
Source: RNAcentral